RNAcentral lists this ribosomal RNA (252 nucleotides) under uncultured Anaerococcus sp. Its description in RNAcentral is "partial 16S ribosomal RNA". It matches the Rfam family "Bacterial small subunit ribosomal RNA", at positions 524 to 776 of the family's 1533-position model. Lineage: Bacteria; Bacillati; Bacillota; Tissierellia; Tissierellales; Peptoniphilaceae. The record is from RNAcentral.
UACGUAAGGACCGAGCGUUGUCCGGAAUCAUUGGGCGUAAAGGGUACGUAGGCGGGUUUUUAAGUUAGAAGUCAAAGGCUAUAGCUCAACUAUAGUAAGCUUCUAAAACUGGGGACCUUGAGUAAUGGAAGGGAAAGUGGAAUUCCUAGUGUAGCGGUGGAAUGCGCAGAUAUUAGGAGGAAUACCGGUGGCGAAGGCGACUUUCUGGCCAUUAACUGACGCUGAGGUACGAAAGCGUGGGUAGCAAACAGG